Molecule: non-coding RNA, 30 nt
Filed under: Mus musculus (house mouse)
Lineage: Eukaryota; Metazoa; Chordata; Mammalia; Rodentia; Muridae
Source: RNAcentral
UGCUGAGCUUGGAGGUUUCUAAAACGCCUU